GCCUUCGUUGUGUAGUGGUCAGCACGCUUGACGCGUAACCGAGAGCUCUGUGGUUCGAAUCCCGACGAGGGCA
RNAcentral lists this transfer RNA (73 nucleotides) under Stegodyphus mimosarum. It matches the Rfam family "tRNA". Rfam says of the family: Transfer RNA (tRNA) molecules are approximately 80 nucleotides in length. Their secondary structure includes four short double-helical elements and three loops (D, anti-codon, and T loops). Lineage: Eukaryota; Metazoa; Arthropoda; Arachnida; Araneae; Eresidae. The record is from Rfam by way of RNAcentral.